CUACAUAAAACCGAAAAGAAGAGAACACAAAUAAGAAAACUGAAGUGUGUGAUCUUCUUGAGACAUAUAUAAAUCUUAAGGUAUGUUUGGUUCGAGAAUUUUUUUUUAUUUUUAAUUUUAAAAAAAAUGUUUUCGCAAACCAAACAGAUCGAUUAAACAUUAACGAUAUAAAGGUUGUUAUUUGUUAGUUCACCUCGGUCAUUGUAGGACGCCAAAUGGCAGUUUGUCUGACACAGUAUGAAGCAGUUAGGAUUACCCUAUACAGUUGCUCUGCAUCAUAUCUACCUUCCAUUCUUGGAUCAGCCAGCUCACCAAUAUUCCCUGAUUCCAUCAGAGGCUUUGCCUGUAUCAUGUUAAAAUGUGUUUGUUAAUUAACAGAGACUAAAAUGACGGGCUAUAUGAAAAUCGGUCAUUUUAGUCGGAGACUAAAAUGACGGAUUUUGUAUACUUGGAGACUAAGUUGAUGAUUUAUUUAAUGAAAAGUGUAUUUACCCAUAGGAGAAUAUUUUGCUUUGAUGAAUCAACAGGUUUGCGUCCGGUUACAAUCUCGAGAAGAAGAACACCAAAUGCAUAAAUAUCAGUUUUCUCAUCCACAAUACCAUGCAUAAAGACUUCUGGUGCUAGAUAUCCAAAUGUUCCCUCCACUGGGAUUACAGCAUGAUGAGUCCACUUGUUAGGAAGCCACUUUGCAAGUCCAAAAUCAGUUAUCUAAUAUAUGCAGCAACAAAAAAUAAUUGUUAAACUUUGACUUGUGUGAAUUGAAUUUGGUAAAACAAGAUAGUGUUAAUUGAAAUGGCUAUUCUAUAGUAUCUAUCUACCUGUGGUUCAUAAUCAGGACCAAGAAGAACAUUGGAGGCUUUAAUGUCGCGAUGAAUUAUUCGAUGUUUACAACAUGUAUGAAGAUAAUGAAGACCCCUUGCAACUCCAAUAGCUAUUUUGUAUCUUAUUGGCCAGUCAAGUGAGUUUUCUGCUUUACCUGAUAUAUUCAUUUCACUACAUUUAAAUCUCAUAUGACAUAACAAACGGUAACUACGUAGCACAAACACAAACACCAGGCACGACACCAUAUUGACACUGACACAUCGACACAAGUAAUUAUUUUAGCAAAUAGAAUUACUGAAUGCAUCAAGUAUUCAUAUGUAUCAGUGUCAUGUUCGUGUCAGACACCAGACACCAGACACACUUUCAAUAUGAAGUGUCGCUGCUAGAUAGGGUAAUUCGUGAAAAAUGAUAGUACAACGGGAGUUAGGUAUAAGGUUUACUCACCAUAACCAUGCAAUGCAGUUGACAAGUUUCCAUUUUGAGAGUAAUUGAAAAUCAGAUAAAGCCCAUUUUCAAUGCAAUAGCCUAACAAAGUUGCAGUAUUAGCAUGACAGACAUGUCCAAUAACACCUAACUCCAUAAGGAACUCUUUUUCCUUGUUUGGAUCAUUGUUGUCUUUGGCUAAUCUCUUCACAGCAAUGGUUUCUCCAUCACAAAGAACACCUUUGUAUACUUCUGAGUACCCUCCUCUUCCAACCAAAUUAUCUGUUUUCAAAAAACAAAAAAUGAAUACUAUAAAGAACCUUAAUUCAAUGUUUCCUAUGACCUUAAAUUAAUUGGUGAGCGCUCCGGUACACAUCUUAUUUGGAUAUGUAUGGGUACACCGCUGAUAUGUAUAAUUUUGAUAGGUUCACAAAUAGUGUUGAAUAAAGAAAAAAUAAUAAACAUUAUUUGGGAACCUAUCAGAAUCAUCCACCGCAGCAGACGUACCAAUACAUAUCUAAAUAAAAUGUGUAUCGAAUAAUCCACUUGAUUAUAUACCUUGGUGAAAGUCAUCAGUAGCAUUUGAUAUGUUUUCAUAGCUGAAGCACUUCAACAAGGGUUGAUGUUUUUCAGUUUUGGACAUGUUGAAGCUUUUUAUUCUGAAUGGUGAACCAAGGAAUGAUAUUAUGAACCUGAAUGACAAUUGUGAUUUUCUUAACUUUGAUUUUCUUUUAAUCUUGGGAUCAGAAGAAGGUGUAUAUGUCAUGCUUGAUGCUCUAGUGCUAAAUGUGUUAUCUUCUGUGCUGUUGUUGGAUUGUCCCUCUAGUCCAUCUAGCAGUACUGUUCUUGGUGAACUGUUUUGUGCAGUCAUUUCUGAGAUGAAAUCAAGGUACUUCAUUAAGUUUUUUGUUUUUUUUUUUAUUUAAAGAAAUUAUAUAAGGAAAUUUUUUUAUUAAUUAAAAUAACACUAAUAGUCGGUUUACAACGGGUUCCUGAUAGGAUUUGAACUCUGUUUGAUAAAGUUAUAAAGUCAAACUCUAACACUGAGCUAACACCUUAUGGAAAAAUAAUUCGAUUUUUAAGUAAUUCGUUGUUAUCCAAUGUAAUUUGUAUUUUGUUAACAUUACUUUAAGACAAAUUGAGUUACCUUGAAAAUGUGUGGAAUUUGAAUUGAUGUAAUUCUGUUCUGACUUUGUGUAUCUACCAACUGAGAUCAUUGUACAACCUUCAUCUAUAUGCUCAAAGCAAUACUUGGUAAUUCCUUUAGAGGUCCCAAUUCUAUCAACAAUACCAAAACAUAAAAAUAAGAGGGGUUGUCAUGUUACAAAUUAGGGGAAGGACAAAGAGGCCAAGUUUUCAACAAUAUCAAUAGACUGAGUUUAAACAUAAAUUAUCUAGAACAAAUCAUCAUUAUAAUAAUACCUAGUAUAAAAUCUGAUACUAAGCAAUAUACUCUCAGAAUAUCUAUUAAUAUUUAAUUUAAUAUAGAUAUAUUUUCUUAUAUAUUGUAACAUGUCACUGAUGUGAUUGAUCUUUAUGGAAUUUUAUAAAUGUUACACUCAGUUCUUACUUACUUAUUUGUUUUGUUUCUUGAUCCCCGGAGGAGAAGAAAAUCAGCAGAAAUUGACUUGGCUUCCUCCACUAAACCACCACCUACUGUGGAAUUAAGUGCCACUUUUGCCUCCAAAUUCACCUGAAAAUGAUGUUUCCAUCAGCAAUCUUUGAUUCUAAUAGCAAGUAUAUUAAAGUCU
Molecule: long non-coding RNA, 2996 nt
Filed under: Trifolium pratense (red clover)
Lineage: Eukaryota; Viridiplantae; Streptophyta; Magnoliopsida; Fabales; Fabaceae
Description: long non-coding RNA (TPRA_LNC001015)
Source: RNAcentral